UUUUUUUUGUUUACUCAAGAGACCUUCCCUCAAGAACAAUACAUUCUUUUUUUAUUUUUCCUUUCCUUUUAGAGCCACACCUGCGGCAUAUGUAAGUUCUCAGGCUAGGGGUCGAAGCGGAGCUGCAGCUGCCGGCCUACACUACAGCCAUGGCAACGCAGGAUGCAAGCCACAUCUGCAACCUAUGCUGCAGCUCACGGCAAUGCCAUACCCUUAACACACUGAGUGGGGCCAGAGAUCGACCCUGCAUCCUCACUGACACUACAUCAGGUUCUUAACCUGUUGAGCCACAACAGGAACUCUGAGAGCAAUGCAUUCUUUGGCAACAGUUGAGGUAAUGUCAAGUUCUUAAAAAUUUAAACGUUCCUCCUACCAAUUCUGCCAUCAUCUCAGGUUGGAAAUCCUAAUUUUAGUCAAAAUGUACCAUUUCUAAGCCUAUACUUCACCCUUGACAGAAGGAAGCCCUGGGCUUCAUGGUGUCUCCAUUAAUCGCCAGAGAAAUGACAACCAUGUGUUUAGUAUGUAUUAGCAAAGUUCAGGAUGAGUGGAAUAUAUCUUCCUUAGGCAAACCUAAAGAAGAGUCACUGUGAACACAGAUUUCCUUUCAAAUAAUAAAGUUUAGGAAAGAGAAUGUGGAAAUUCAUUACCUUCAAACCAUACUACUUGUAUUUCCAUGUACCUCCAGGAAUUCCUGCUUGAAAAUCCCUGACCUGGUCGAAUUUUACAUUCAUGUUCUAACUCAUAGACAGUCAUAGCCAGGAUUUUUAAUCUUGAUACCUGUCUCACCUCUUAUUCCAACACUCAGAAUGGCUUCACCUGUUUGCAUUCUGCUUUGAUUAUGAUUUGUAUUUGUCUUCCAUUUCAUGGACUGCAGUGGGUUGAACUGUGACACCCUCAACAUAAACGUCUAUAUUCAAACCCCUGGAAACUGUGACUGUUACAUUAUUUGGAAAAAAAAGGUCUUUGCAGAUACAAGUUAGGCCUAGGGGUGAGGUUGCCCUGGCUGACUCAGCUGGGCCCUAAAUUCAAUGACAAACACCCUUAUAAGAGACAGAAGAGAAGACAGACACAGAAGGAAGGUAACAUGAACACAGAGGCCGAGACUGGAAUGAUGCAGCCAAAAGGAAGCUGAGAGCCACCAGAAGUUAGAAAGAUAGGGAAGGAUUCUCCUCUAGAGGCUCCAAAAGUAAUGUGGCCCUGCCAACACCUUGAUUUCAGACAUCUGGCCUCCAGAGCUCUGAGACAAUCAGUUUCUGUUGUUUUAAAUCACCUAGUUUGUGGUAAUUUGUUACAUCAACUCUAGGAAAUGAAGAUGCUUAUCUUUGGCUUCCUAGGUCCAUAUUCUCCUCAGUAAUGAGCCCUAUCAUACUAUGGCAUAGGCCCUUGUGCAUGGUGUCAUUGCAGAAUUCAUACAAGCUUUGUAUUAAAACCCUACAAAUUUAUUUUUGUCUACUUCAUUAGGAAAGUUUCUGCAUAAUUUCAGAUAUAUUUGUUUUGGAAUCCUGGUUCUGCCCUUCAAAGUUGGGUGACCGUCGAUGAGUCAGACAACCUCAGCGCCUUCAUUUCUACACUAUUCAGCAACCAACAAAUGUUAGUUUUCCUUCCUGUAAAUGUAACUUAAAAGUUGUCACUUUUAAGUAUCUUCACUGGAGUUCCCGUUAUGGCUCAAGUGGUAAUGAACCUGAGUAGUAUCCAUGAGGCCUCUGAUUCGAUCCCUGGCCUUGUUCAGUGGGUUAAGGAUUUGGUAUUACCAUGAAAUAUGGUAAAGGUUGCAGAUGCAGCUUGCAUCCAGUGUUGCUGUGGCUAUGGCAUAGGCCAGUGGCUAGAGCUCUGAUUUGACCCAUGUGGGAACUUCCAUAUGCCACAGGUAUGGCCCUAGAAAGACAAAAAAAAUUUAAAAUUUACAAAAAGAAGUAUCUUUACUAAUAAAAUGGUUUAAUCCAAUCUUACUUCUUCCUUUGUUUUAGGUCUAUUCCUUUUCUUUUUUCUCCCUAAAGCAAUGUCAUUUUUCCACUUUUUGUAAUGAUGUGAAGAGAAUUAUGCCAAUAUAAUUUUUUAUCUUUUUGCCUUUGCUACGGCCACUCCCACGGCAUAUGGAGGUUUUUCUUCUACAAUAAUCCUAGAGUUUUGGUUUUUGUCUUUUUACUAUUGUGAGUGCUCAGGGAUAAAUGAUGACCUAUGGCUGCAGGCUUUCCCACAUUCAUUACUCUGAUAAGGCUUCUCUGUUCUAUGAGUCUGCUUAUGUUUGAAAAGGGCUGAGCUUAAGCUAAAGGAUUUCCCACAUUCAUUACAUUGAUAGGGUUUCUCUUCUGUAUGGUUUCUCUGAUGUCGAAUUAGUGAUGUUCUAUAGCAAAAUUGUUUUUGACAUUCAUUACAUUGAUAGGGUUUCUCACCAGAAUGUAUUUUUAGAUGUUCUGUAAGGUGUGUACUUCGGCUGAAAGUUUUUCCACAUUCCUUACAAACGUAAGGUUUCUCUCCAGUAUGAGUUCUCUGGUGUUCAGUAAGAUGUGCACUCCGAUUAAAGGCCUUUCCACAUUCAUUACACUCAAAGGGUUUCUCUCCAGUAUGAAUUCUCUGAUGUUGAAUGAAGGCUGGAGUAUGGCUGAAGGCUUUUCCACAUUCAUUACAUUUGUAGGGUUUUUCUCCUGUGUGAGUUCUUCGAUGUCGGGUUAGUGAUGUGCUGUGGCAAAAAACUUUCCUACAGUCCUUACACUGGUAGGAUUUCUCCCCAGAAUGAAUUCCUUGAUGUUCAAUAAGAUGUGUGCUCCGACUGAAGGUUUUCCCACAUUUGACACAUACAUAUGGUUUCUUUCCAGUGUGAAUUCUGUGAUGUUGAAUAAGGGCCGAAAUAUGGCUGAAAGCUUUCCCACAUUCAUUACAAGGAUAGGGUUUUUCUCCAGUAUGUAUUCUCUCAUGAUUUUUAAGGGAUGAUCUGUGACUAAAGGCUUUUUCACAUUCAUUACACUUAUAAGGUUUCUCCCCAGUAUGGACUCUUUGAUGUUGAAUAAGAUUAGUGCUCUGACUAAAAGCUUUUCCACAUUCAUUACACUCAUAGGGUUUCUCCCCAGUAUGAAUUCUCUGAUGUUGAAUGAAGGCUGGAGUAUGGCUGAAGGCUUUUCCACAUUCAUUACAUUUGUAGAGUUUUUCUCCUGUGUGAGUUCUCUGAUGUCGGAUUAGUGAUGUGCUGUGGCAAAAAACUUUCCUACAGUCCUUACACUGGUAGGAUUUCUCCCCAGAAUGAAUUCCUUGAUGUUCAAUAAGAUGUGUGCUCCGACUGAAGGUUUUCCCACAUUUGACACAUACAUAUGGUUUCUUUCCAGUGUGAAUUCUGUGAUGCUGAAUAAGGGCUGAAAUAUGGCCGAAAGCCUUCCCACAUUCUUUACAAGGAUAGGGUUUUUCUCCAGUAUGUAUUCUCUCGUGAUUUUUAAGGGAUGAUCUGUGACUAAAGGCUUUUUCACAUUCAUUACACUUAUAAGGUUUCUCCCCGGUAUGGACUCUUUGAUGUUGAAUAAGAUUAGUGCUCUGACUAAAAGCUUUCCCACAUUCAUUACACUCAUAAGGCUUCUCUCCAGUAUGUAUUCUUUGAUGUUGAAUAAGAUUAGUGUUUCGGCUGAAGGAUUUACCACAUAGUUUACAUUCACGUUUCUCUCUCAUACAAAUGUUCUCAGAUUCCAUCAGUACUGAACUAUAGCUGUACAUUUAAAUUGUUUCAAACAUAAGUAAUUUUAUAUAUGAAAUUAUUUUUCCUUUAUAAGCUGCCUUUAAAAAAAUCUAUUGAAGCAGAAUUAUGCAUCUGUGUCAUAAUUAUGAGGUCUUUAUCUUCUAGAAACUCUCAGCUGUUUAAAAAGAUUUGAGCUGAGAUUAGACAUUUCCCUCAAACUGUUACAUUCAUGAUCUUUCUCCUGAAUUGCUUUUCCUUAUAAUAUUACUUGUGUUGCUCAAACCAGUUAUUGAAUUCCAAUUCUUCGAAUGUGAAGAACCAUCAUUUGAAAAUUUUUCUAACAUCAUGCCAUGACACCAUUUAUUUUUCAGAAGCUUUCAGCUUUAGAAUUAACACUCUGCCUUUGGAUAUAGUAUCCAGGAUUAAGCAGAAGAUAAUAUUUCUUCCCUCUGGAAUAUAAAGGGGAAAAUAGACCUCACUCAUCAGUUAUAAAAAAAAAAUAUAUCUAUAUAUAAGAAAAAAUAAACCAGUAUGGAUAAAACACGAUUAUACAAUAUAGGUUCUGAUGAAUAUGGAUGUUUAAAGAAGGAAAGAAUUAACACAGAUAAGCAUGGUAAAAGAAAUGAUUGCACUGAGACAAAAUUCAUGAUAUAAUCAAAGAUAAAGAUAUAAAAAGUACAUGAUAUGGCAGACCAAUGACAUUAGCUCAAAUAUAUGUCUUUGGAAAGCAGAGGUAGGUAAAACAUAAGAAAAAUGAAAUGGGAUCAUAUAAUAAAUUCUGACAAAAAAUGUCAUAUAGUAGGAGAUAGAAAAAUUGAAGUUUUCUGUCAUAGUAGCAACAUGAUAAAUAUGUGAUUUUUAGAUGAAGUACUUGCUAAUUUCAUCUAAAAUGGAUAACAGAAUAAAGCAAUCAAAUUCAGUAAGAAAGUAUAAUAUAAAUGAUAUGGGCCUGGAUUAAGAUAAUACAUAAGAAUUCAGUAUAAAAGUAAAUCUAAAACAGAAGAAACAAAAAUAUACGGACAUUGAUUAUGAGGAAUUUUUACAAAAUGAGGUUCAUAAAGAUGCUUGGUUUCCAGCCAAGAAAGUUAGAACUAAUAGUGGUGCUAAGAGAGGAACAAAUAGCACCAAUAAUAGUGGUAUGAAUGACAGAAAUACUGAAGAAGGAAAAAGAGGCUACUUAGAGAAAGUUGGUGACUUCACAUUUCACCAUAUUGAGUUUAUAAAGUAAUUUAUUAAAGUGAAGUGAGACAUUCAAGUAGUGAGCUACUCUAAGCAGGGAAAGUAUGGAGAAUUCAAAUGAGAUAUGUAAAGGGAAAAAGACAUAUCAGGGAAUUAAUGGCAUGGAAGGACUAGUUUUAGGAUAUAGGAUGCAUGGAUUGUUUGGGAUGAAAAAUAAACAAGCAGAAAAUAAACCUUAAAAGGACAAGCAUUUGUGUUAGGGAGGAAGUGAAACUAAUGAAAAAGCCCUUGCAAAGAAAUUAGAACAGAAAAUAACCUGGUGAUGUCACAAAAGCAAAGACAAAAUAUCAAAUGAAGCAGAAAAUUUAGAAUAUGGAAAGGACUAAGUUUCUAUCAGGAAAGAAUUCAGAAUUCAGGGGUCCCUUCAAAAUAAUUUUAAUAGAAAAACAGAUGAUAAGAAUCUAAAUUCAAAAAUUAGGGUAGAAUUGACACUGUUAACUAUGAGUACAAAAAGUGUGGUAAUGAAAAAAGACUAAAAUUAAAAUGUAAGUAAAAAUUAAAAUAUUGUUACACAAAUGUUUUUUUAAAAACAAGAAAAACUUUUCAACUUCGAAAAUUAGAACAGGGAGAGACUGAAUUAUGAAAUAAUCAUUAAAUCAAGGUCCUAAAACAAAUAGAAAAUAAUGGAGUCUAGGGUACAAAUACAGAGAUUCACUAACAAAUGAAAGAGGGCCAUCUCUUACUGGGAGUUCACAAAAACAUGUGAGAUGGAUAAAGAUAUGUAGAAAUGAAGGUGAAUGUCGAGCCCACUAGAUGAACUGUUUUAUACAUGGAUAAGAGGAGGCUCUGCAGAGUGGACACUAACCAGCAUUUCUAAAUCCACCACCUAGUACCAAUAUUGUUGGUACCACCAUCACAACAGACAAUUAUUUACAAGGAUUUCUAGCUACUUGGUUGUUACCUAGUUGUCUGAUUUGUUCUUCACUAAGUAUUUUGUGACGUUUCUCCAUUUUUCCCUCUGUUAUCUAUUAAUACGAUUCUUUCUACUUAGAAGAUAAUGUCUGUUUUAAAAAGUUGAUGCUUGGAUUCUUGGUGAAGGAUAUGUGCUUGCGUGUUUACCAUGGAUCCAGAAUUGUUCCUAAGUUGUGUUCAGGAAAUCUGAAAUGUCGGAAUAUUGAUGCUGCUAAGGCAACAUAAUAAAGUCAUCUGUGUACAAUGUUUUGAAGAAAAAAGCAAUCAUCUUUAAUAAUAAAAGAAAUAUUUUAUCUCAAUGAACAAAUAAAAUUAAAAAUCUCUGGUCACUAACUCAAAGUAUAGAUCAGAUAAGCCCUUGUAAAUCCCAUAAUGCCAAACAUUUUGACAUUUAGGGAAGAAGCCACGGUGAUCUAUAGUAAUUACAAAGCUAUACUUAACCCAUGAGACAAGGCUCCUACAGUUGUUAUCACUUCCCUGUACAGUAUCUGAAAAUGGUCUGAUUCUUUUCAUUACCACUAUGUAAAGUCCCCUGGAACAGCCUUCGAUGCCUGGUUCCUAGAACAUCAAAUACUUGCUUACUAAGGGAUCAUUCAUUCAACUACUUAUGAAAGAAAGAGUAAAGCUAACAACUUAAAAUAACAAAGUAGAAGGCUAGAAAGUUCAAAGAGGGUUCAGGGUUCUAAAGUUCUAAGUUCAAGACUGUCCAAAAGCACUUAUUUGGUGCCUACUAUGUACCUGUUGAGAGUAUACAGAAGCAAUGCUGAAGUUUCCCUACAAAAACACUGAAAAUAAGAAAUCUAUCUAUAUUUACAUAAACUAUAAAUAUAAAAAUAUGAACUCAACCAAAGAAAUAAUAGAAAGUGUAUAGAUAUGAUAAGGAGGUACUACAUAAAUGGACAAGGUUACAAUCCUAUUGAUGGUAGCAAUACAUAUAAAGAAGUAUGGAUCAAUCAAAAGUAAAGCAAUGGUGGGGAGACGGGAGUAAGAUGGCAGAAUAGAAGGACUAGAGCUCAUCUUCUCUCAUAAAAUCAACAAAAUUACAACCAACUGCUGAACUACCUUCAACCAAACAGACAGCAAGCUAUCAAAAAAGAUAUCCUACUCCAGAAGACAAAGAGGUGACCACAUCAAGAUAGUAGGAGGUACAAUUACAUGAUGUAAGCAACCCCAUACCCGCUGGGUGGGCAGCCUAUAAACUGGAAAGUAACUGUAUCACAAAGACUUCCUUAUGGGAGUGAGCAUCCUGAACCCCACAUCAGGUCCCCUUGCCUGGGGAUCUGUUAUUGCGAGAAGGAUCCCCCAGAGCGUUUGGCAUUGAAGGCCAGUGGGGCUUGUGUGCAGGUGCUCCAUGGGACUGGGGGAAACAGAGACACCAUUCUUGAAAGGCACACAUAGGCUUUCAUACGCACUGGGUCCCAGGGCAAAGCAGAGACUCCAAAGGAAUACGGGUCGGACCUGACUGCAGUUCUUGGAAGAUCUCCUGGGGAAAGAGAGAAUGACUGUGGCUCAUUGUGGGGGAAGGACACUGGAGGCAAUGGUCUCUGGAAUAAUCAGAAGCAUGUGUUUUGGAAAAAUCUGGCCCCACCCUUCAGUGCUGAGAAGCCCCAGGCCAAGCAAUAAUCCACCCAUCAGUAAAACAGGCUGCCUAAAGUCUCCAGGCACACAGCUGCCUCUAAACUUACCAGGGACAAAGCCCCACCCACCAGAGGGAAUCAGCUCCAACCAGUGGCCUCCCUCCCAUCAGGAAGCCUACACCAAGUCCCAGUACCAACUUCAGCCACAAGGGGGGCAGACAUCAGAAGCAAGAGAGGCUCCAACUCUAUUGUGUGCAAAAAGGAGACCACACCAAAAA
Molecule: long non-coding RNA, 7667 nt
Filed under: Sus scrofa (pig)
Lineage: Eukaryota; Metazoa; Chordata; Mammalia; Artiodactyla; Suidae
Description: lncRNA (ENSSSCG00015020705.1)
Source: RNAcentral